This 1762-nucleotide long non-coding RNA is filed under the name Salvia miltiorrhiza (redroot sage). RNAcentral's name for it is "long non-coding RNA (SMIL_LNC011450)". Lineage: Eukaryota; Viridiplantae; Streptophyta; Magnoliopsida; Lamiales; Lamiaceae. The record is from RNAcentral.
AAUAUGAUAAAAGAUGAUAAAAGCUCUUUAGAAUAAGUUCUUGGGGAGUAUUUAUAUGCCCUAGGUCAAGUAGGACUCAAAAAUACCCCAAAAUCGCGUAAAAGGGUGAAAAACGGACUUUUGGGCGAAAACUCGGCGACUCGCGCGGCCUCUCGCGCGGCCGCGCGGCUGGCCCGCGUGACGAAACAGAACUCUUGACAGCUUUGCGCAGCGAUUUUGUUUUGGCUCGUUCUCUUUCGUCCGAACUCCAAUUUAUGAUCCGUUUGCACCCACGAACUCUUAUCGAGACGAACUACAACUUGUAUUUCAGUCAAUUCUUUCACAUUCUGCUUCCUUAUUUCUGAAAAUUCGUUCAAACACAAGCAAGUAACAAGUUCUUGGUCAUAAACGAAUAUAAGCUCAAAUAGACCAUCAAACACACAAAAUCCUCACAACUAAGCAUAAAAAAUGACACACCAAGAGGUAAAAAUAAUGCAUGUUUAUCAACCCUCAAACUGAACUAUUGUCCGUCCUCGGACAAAACAAAGAUGGACCAAGAAUGAAUCAACAAGAGCGUAGAGAAAAGUAGAUAACAUUGUGGCUUCAGAUUUGUCAGCAAAAAUAAUGAUAUGCAUUUGUAUCUCUUAUCAUCAAGAUAUCACACUCAUGACAAACUCAAAUUAUGGUCUCAAUGAAUUGCAAUCCUCACCAAAAAGAUAAAGAAUAUAUGAACUCUCAACUCUCAAGUGUAUCAAUUAAAAAGGACGUGUAUACGCUCAGUUCAAGCUAAACAAGUACUCAUCCAUAAGCUUGUCAAUCGUCUCACCUCUCCACCACUAAAUGUGUGCUCCUAUAACCAAGAUCAAAAAGGUCUUUAUUGAGGGUUGUAAUGUAGGCUCUUUGGUAGGGUAGGAUAUAUUUGGCUAAGUGACUAAAAGAUGCUCUCAAUGUAGCAUGAUCACCAACCUUAUAGCAUUCUUACUCAAUUCUAUCCUCCACCUUCCAUAAAACCAAAUUUUUCAAUAUAUAAUCCAUCACAACUCAUCAAUUAUUUCUCAUGACAUUAUGACUUUCUAAUGCAUCCUAUGUACCCAUCUUUUUUCCACUUUUCUCAUCUUUUUUUUUUCUUUUUCUUUUUUUCUUUUUUUUUCAACAACUUGUAGGGUACUAGGAUUAUUUUCAAUCAAGAUCAAAGUUCAUAAACCAUUAUCACGCAUCUCCACAAACCAACUACCCCAUAACAACAAUCUCCAAGCUCCCACCCACAGCUAAAUCAAAUAAAAUAGAAAAUAAGGCUCAAAGGGGGCGAACUAGGAUCAUAUAUAGUAAAAGGGCAAGUAUGGGAUAUAUAGGCUAGCAAAGAUGGUCUUCUAUCAUCUCAAAGUUAUUAAGCACACUAUGUGACCUCGAGGGAGAAACCAAGACAAGUUCUAGUGAGAAACAUGCAUGCUCGAACAAUCACUCAAGAAUGGCCCGCGUGACGAAACAGAACUCCUGACAGCUUUGCGCAGCGAUUUUGUUUUGACUCGUUCUCCCUCGUCCGAACUCCGAUUUAUGAUCCGUUUGCGCUCACAAACUCCUAUCGAGACGAAAUAUAACUUAUAUUUCAGCCAGUUCUUCCAAAUUCUGCUUCAUUGUUUCUGAAAAUUCGUUCAAACACAAGCAAGUAACAAGUUCUUGACCAUAAACGAAUAUAAGCUCAAAUAGACCAUCAAACACACAAAAUCCUCACAACUAAGCAUCAAAAAUGACACACCAAGAGGUAAAAAUGCAUGUUUAUCAA